RNAcentral lists this ribosomal RNA (422 nucleotides) under uncultured fungus. RNAcentral describes it as "eukaryotic LSU rRNA". It matches the Rfam family "Eukaryotic large subunit ribosomal RNA", at positions 1 to 418 of the family's 3401-position model. Lineage: Eukaryota; Fungi. The record is from RNAcentral.
UUGACCUCGGAUCAGGCAGGGAUACCCGCUGAACUUAAGCAUAUCAAUAAGCGGAGGAAAAGAAACCAACAGGGAUUGCCUCAGUAACGGCGAGUGAAGCGGCAACAGCUCAGAAUUUGAAAUCUGGCUCUUUCAGGGUCCGAGUUGUAAUUUGUAGAGGAUGCUUCGGCGUGGGCUCCGGUCUAAGUUCCUUGGAACAGGACGUCAUAGAGGGUGAGAAUCCCGUAUGUGAUCGGCUGCCUUUGCCAUGUGAAGCUCCUUCGACGAGUCGAGUUGUGUGGGACUGCAGCUCUAAAUGGGACGUAAAUUUCUUCUAAAGCUAAGUACUGGCCAGAGACCGAUAGCGCACAAGUAGAGUGAUCGAAAGAUGAAAAGCACUGUGGGAAGAGAGUCCAAAAGUACGUGAAAUUGUUGAAAGGGAA